RNAcentral lists this unclassified non-coding RNA (174 nucleotides) under uncultured Rozellomycota. RNAcentral's name for it is "uncultured Cryptomycota sequence contains ITS1". The record is from RNAcentral. Lineage: Eukaryota; Fungi; Rozellomycota.
GUGAAAUUUGGGCGUCUCUUCCACAGAGAGCCCGUCUGCCACAUUUAACCCUGUGCACUUGGCACUUAGUCUCGUGCGCUUGUCAGUCGGGCUCAGUUUUUUUCGGAAGCCUGAGCCGGCGAAAACCUUUUUUAACGCAAGUUGAUGAAUGUAACUUAAAAUAUAAACCAAAUA